GGGGAUUUAGCUCAGUGGUAGAGCGCUUGCCUAGCAAGCGCAAGCUCCUGGGUUCGGUCCCCAGCUCCA
Non-coding RNA from Rattus norvegicus (Norway rat), 69 nucleotides. The record is from Rfam. Lineage: Eukaryota; Metazoa; Chordata; Mammalia; Rodentia; Muridae.